CAGUAGCCACGGGAAUACGAAGGGUGCAAGCGUUAAUCGGAAUUACUGGGCGUAAAGCGUGCGUAGGCGGUGAGUUAAGUCUGCUGUGAAAUCCCCGGGCUCAACCUGGGAAUGGCAGUGGAUACUGGCUCGCUAGAGUGUGUCAGAGGAUGGUGGAAUUCCCGGUGUAGCGGUGGAAUGCGUAGAGAUCGGGAGGAACAUCAGUGGCGAAGGCGGCCAUCUGGGACAACACUGACGCUGAGGCACGAAAGCGUGGGGAGCAAACAGGAUUAGAUACCCGCGUAGUCCCUGUCUCUUAUAA
RNAcentral lists this ribosomal RNA (301 nucleotides) under uncultured bacterium. RNAcentral describes it as "partial 16S ribosomal RNA". It matches the Rfam family "Bacterial small subunit ribosomal RNA", at positions 509 to 809 of the family's 1533-position model. The record is from RNAcentral.